Molecule: ribosomal RNA, 490 nt
Filed under: uncultured bacterium
Lineage: Bacteria
Description: partial 16S ribosomal RNA
Rfam family: Bacterial small subunit ribosomal RNA
Source: RNAcentral
AUUGAACGCUGGCGGCAGGCCUAACACAUGCAAGUCGAACGGUAACAGGGAUCAGCUUGCUGAUUCGCUGACGAGUGGCGGACGGGUGAGUAAUGUCUGGGAAACUGCCUGAUGGAGGGGGAUAACUACUGGAAACGGUAGCUAAUACCGCAUAACGUCGCAAGACCAAAGAGGGGGACCUUCGGGCCUCUUGCCAUCGGAUGUGCCCAGAUGGGAUUAGCUAGUAGGUGGGGUAACGGCUCACCUAGGCGACGAUCCCUAGCUGGUCUGAGAGGAUGACCAGCCGCACUGGAACCGAGACACGGUCCAGACUCCUACGGGAGGCAGCAGUGGGGAAUAUUGCACAAUGGGCGCAAGCCUGAUGCAGCCAUGCCGCGUGUAUGAAGAAGGCCUUCGGGUUGUAAAGUACUUUCAGCGGGGAGGAAGGGAGUAAAGUUAAUACCUUUGCUCAUUGACGUUACCCGCAGAAGAAGCACCGGCUAACUCCGUG